This 427-nucleotide ribosomal RNA is filed under the name uncultured bacterium. RNAcentral's name for it is "partial 16S ribosomal RNA". It matches the Rfam family "Bacterial small subunit ribosomal RNA", at positions 355 to 774 of the family's 1533-position model. The record is from RNAcentral.
UGGGGAAUAUUGCACAAUGGGCGCAAGCCUGAUGCAGCCAUGCCGCGUGUAUGAAGAAGGCCUUCGGGUUGUAAAGUACUUUCAGCGGGGAGGAAGGCGAUAAGGUUAAUAACCUUGUCGAUUGACGUUACCCGCAGAAGAAGCACCGGCUAACUCCGUGCCAGCAGCCGCGGUAAUACGGAGGGUGCAAUCGUUAAUCGGAAUUCCUGGGCGUAAAGCGCACGCAGGCGGUCUGUCAAGUCGGAUGUGAAAUCCCCGGGCUCAACCUGGGAACUGCAUUCGAAACUGGCAGGCUAGAGUCUUGUAGAGGGGGGUAGAAUUCCAGGUGUAGCGGUGAAAUGCGUAGAGAUCUGGAGGAAUACCGGUGGCGAAGGCGGCCCCCUGGACAAAGACUGACGCUCAGGUGCGAAAGCGUGGGGAGCAAACA